Molecule: ribosomal RNA, 400 nt
Filed under: uncultured bacterium
Lineage: Bacteria
Description: bacterial SSU rRNA
Rfam family: Bacterial small subunit ribosomal RNA
Source: RNAcentral
GGGGAAUAUUGGACAAUGGGCGAAAGCCUGAUCCAGCCAUGCCGCGUGAGUGAUGAAGGCCUUAGGGUUGUAAAGCUCUUUCAGUGGGGAAGAUAAUGACGGUACCCACAGAAGAAGCCCCGGCUAACUUCGUGCCAGCAGCCGCGGUAAUACGAAGGGGGCUAGCGUUGUUCGGAUUUACUGGGCGUAAAGCGCACGUAGGCGGAUUGUUAAGUCAGGGGUGAAAUCCUGGAGCUCAACUCCAGAACUGCCCUUGAUACUGGCAAUCUUGAGUCCGGAAGAGGUGAGUGGAACUCCUAGUGUAGAGGUGGAAUUCGUAGAUAUUAGGAAGAACACCAGUGGCGAAGGCGGCUCACUGGUCCGGUACUGACGCUGAGGUGCGAAAGCGUGGGGAGCAAAC